GUACCCACUUUGGCAGCACAUAUACUAAAAUUGGAACCAUAUAGAGGUUGGCAUGGCCCUUGCACAGGAUGACAUAAAAAUUCUUGAAGUAUCCUAUAUUUUG
This is a small nuclear RNA of Diceros bicornis minor, 103 nucleotides long. The record is from RefSeq and is a predicted model, not a curated record. Lineage: Eukaryota; Metazoa; Chordata; Mammalia; Perissodactyla; Rhinocerotidae.